RNAcentral lists this ribosomal RNA (790 nucleotides) under uncultured archaeon. Its description in RNAcentral is "bacterial SSU rRNA". It matches the Rfam family "Archaeal small subunit ribosomal RNA", at positions 85 to 876 of the family's 1478-position model. The record is from RNAcentral.
ACGGCUCAGUAACACGUGGACAACCUACCCUUAGGACAGGUAUAAACCCGGGAAACUGGGUAUAAUCCCUGAUAGUCCUCGACUGCUGGAAUGCAUCGAGGCCGAAAGCUCCGGCGCCUAAGGAUGGGUCUGCGGCCUAUCAGGUAGUAGUGGGUCUAAAGUACCUACUAGCCUACGACGGGUACGGGUUGUGAGAGCAAGAGCCCGGAGAUGGAUUCUGAGACACGAAUCCAGGCCCUACGGGGUGCAGCAGGCGCGAAAACUUUACAAUGCCGGCAACGGCGAUAAGGGGACCUCGAGUGCCAGGUUACAAAUCUGGCUGUCGUGAUGCCUAAAAAGCAUUGCAUAGCAAGGGCCGGGCAAGACCGGUGCCAGCCGCCGCGGUAACACCGGCGGCUCGAGUGGUAACCGUUAUUAUUGGGUCUAAAGGGUCUGUAGCCGGCCGGAUAAGUCUCUUGGGAAAUCCAGCAGCUCAACUGUUGGGCUUCCAGGAGAUACUGUCUGGCUCGAGGCCGGGAGAGGUGAGAGGUACUUCAGGGGUAGGGGUGAAAUCUUGUAAUCCUUGAAGGACCACCAGUGGCGAAGGCGUCUCACCAGAACGGACCUGACGGCAAGGGACGAAAGCUAGGGGCACGAACCGGAUUAGAUACCCGGGUAGUCCUAGCCGUAAACGAUACUCGCUAGGUGUCGGCCACGGUGCGACCGUGGUCGGUGCCGUAGGGAAGCCGUGAAGCGAGCCACCUGGGAAGUACGGCCGCAAGGCUGAAACUUAAAGGAAUUGGCGGGGGAG